UCGAUUUGGAGUUUGUUGCCUAGAGUGAUGGGCUCCGAAGCUAACGCGAUAAAUCGACCGCCUGGGGAGUACGGCCGCAAGGUUAAAACUCAAAUGAAUUGACGGGGGCCCGCACAAGCGGUGGAGCAUGUGGUUUAAUUCGAUGCAACGCGAAGAACCUUACCUGGUCUUGACAUCCACAGAAUCUUGCAGAGAUGUGAGAGUGCCUUCGGGAAUUGUGAGACAGGUGCUGCAUGGCUGUCGUCAGCUCGUGUUGUGAAAUGUUGGGUUAAGUCCCGCAACGAGCGCAACCCUUAUCCUUUGUUGCCAUCGGUUAGGCCGGGAACUCAAAGGAGACUGCCGUUGAUAAAGCGGAGGAAGGUGGGGACGACGUCAAGUCAUCAUGGCCCUUACGACCAGGGCUACACACGUGCUACAAUGGCGUAUACAAAGGGAGGCGACCUCGCGAGAGCAAGCGGACCUCAUAAAGUACGUCUAAGUCCGGAUUGGAGUCUGCAACUCGACUCCAUGAAGUCGGAAAUCGCUAGUAAUCGUGAAAUCAGAAUGUCACGGUGAAUACGUUCCCGGGCCU
RNAcentral lists this ribosomal RNA (571 nucleotides) under uncultured Gammaproteobacteria bacterium. Its description in RNAcentral is "bacterial SSU rRNA". It matches the Rfam family "Bacterial small subunit ribosomal RNA", at positions 812 to 1381 of the family's 1533-position model. The record is from RNAcentral. Lineage: Bacteria; Pseudomonadati; Pseudomonadota; Gammaproteobacteria.